This 234-nucleotide ribosomal RNA is filed under the name uncultured bacterium. RNAcentral's name for it is "partial 16S ribosomal RNA". It matches the Rfam family "Bacterial small subunit ribosomal RNA", at positions 118 to 351 of the family's 1533-position model. The record is from RNAcentral.
UGAGUAGCCUGCCCUUAACUCUGGGAUAAGCCUGGGAAACUGGGUCUAAUACCGGAUAUGACUCCUCAUCGCAUGGUGGGGGGUGGAAAGCUUUAUUGUGGUUUUGGAUGGACUCGCGGCCUAUCAGCUUGUUGGUGAGGUAAUGGCUCACCAAGGCGACGACGGGUAGCCGGCCUGAGAGGGUGACCGGCCACACUGGGACUGAGACACGGCCCAGACUCCUACGGGAGGCAG